UGGGGAAUAUUGGGCAAUGGGGGAAACCCUGACCCAGCAACGCCGCGUGAGGGAAGAAGGCCUUCGGUUGUAAACCUCUGUCCUAUGGGACGAACAAAUGACGGUACCAUAGGAGGAAGCUCCGGCUAACUACGCGCCAGCAGCCGCGGUAAUACGUAGGGAGCAAGCGUUGUCCGGAAUUACUGGGCGUAAAGGGUGCGUAGGCGGUUUGAUAAGUCAGAUGUGAAAUACCUGGGCUCAACUCGGGGGCUGCAUUUGAAACUGUCAAACUUGAGUGCAGGAGAGGAAAGCGGAAUUCCUAGUGUAGCGGUGAAAUGCGUAGAUAUUAGGAGGAACACCAGUGGCGAAGGCGGCUUUCUGGACUGUAACUGACGCUGAGGCACGAAAGCGUGGGAGCAAACAGGAUUAGAUACCCUGGUAGU
This 422-nucleotide ribosomal RNA is filed under the name uncultured bacterium. Its description in RNAcentral is "bacterial SSU rRNA". It matches the Rfam family "Bacterial small subunit ribosomal RNA", at positions 355 to 794 of the family's 1533-position model. The record is from RNAcentral.